Small nuclear RNA from Chionomys nivalis (European snow vole), 103 nucleotides. The record is from RefSeq and is a predicted model, not a curated record. NCBI's taxonomy places the organism in Eukaryota, Metazoa, Chordata, Mammalia, Rodentia, Cricetidae.
ACGUGGGGCCCGUGCGUAUCUACUAAAAGUGGAACUAGAGAGAAGAUGAGCAUGGCUCCUAUGCAAGGAUGGCGUGUGAAUUCAUGAAGCAUUCCAUAUUUUU